Molecule: non-coding RNA, 1146 nt
Organism: Oryctolagus cuniculus (rabbit)
Lineage: Eukaryota; Metazoa; Chordata; Mammalia; Lagomorpha; Leporidae
Source: RefSeq, a predicted model, not a curated record
ACUGGGCUUGCGGUUCCCAGCGGUAAGUCUUUGAAUAGAACUUCCUGUCUCGACUGAACGUCCAUUGUUUCAUCUGUUGAAACGUUUCCCUGUUUCUUCGCAGAGAAUCCUCCUUGUGAACAGGAUUCUCGGAAGGCAGCCGAGGGCGACGCUCAAAGUUCCAGAGAGGGCUUGGUGUCCCCAAGCUCGGCGAAGCCGUGAAGACCUUCGCAACCCCCAAAGUCACAACAACGGGGUCACUGUGCUGCCAGUGAUGGAGAGCCCAGGGUUCUCACAGACAGCCCCCUGGGAUUCCCUGUGCCACUCAAAAAGAUGUCAGAGCUUCGUUCUUAGGGAUGAAGAGAGCCAAAGGAAUCUCGACUUCACGCGAUAGGUCCAGCCCUUAAAUGAGAAGCUGAGCCACAGGAAAACAAAAGUACGCAAUGACUCAGCAAGGUGUCAUCCUGACCUGCACGGCCCCGCCUCCUGUGGAGGACACACAAGGCUUGUGGAGAAGAUGAUGACGCACAGGUACUGCCAGCCAUUGGGAAGCAAAGACGGCUAAGUCCAAACACCUGCUUUUCAAGAUAACCCAGGUCCUGGGGCCAUCCCAGUGGGACCAUGAACCGCAGCUGGAAGUGGCGAGUGCCAUCGGGAGACACAGCAGGGGGCCAGGGGCCAGGGGUGUGCUCCUUGCCCCGACAGGGACACAGAACUCCCUGGAAGAAGGCCGAGACCAGACUGUGUCUUCCCCAGACCGUCCACGUGGAUGCAGGGCCACUGCCUCAGAGGACUGCGGGUGGGAACAGCGCAGCACACACGGCCUCACCCCUACUGAAGGCACCUUCCUGUGACGGCACUUACCGUGACGUGUCUUACUGCUGUGACCUUCAACACGCCUCUAACCCCGCGGCGUCUGCGGAGCUCCUGCAGCAGGCUGGGUUCACGCCGGCCGUCUCAGCACACUCCACAUCUCUCUGCACAGAGGCUCCAGGGCCGCCGUGCAGACUGUUGUGAAGACUGGUUUAGGCACACAGCACCCUGCCCACGGCACCAAUAACCACAGGAAUUGUUACCUCCAAGGGGAGAGGCUUGUUAGAAUCCUGCAGCACACACCACUCCUCGUCUAACCGAUCAGAAAGCACGAUGCAAGUUAAAGGAAAGGUA